RNAcentral lists this ribosomal RNA (470 nucleotides) under uncultured bacterium. RNAcentral's name for it is "partial 16S ribosomal RNA". It matches the Rfam family "Bacterial small subunit ribosomal RNA", at positions 28 to 507 of the family's 1533-position model. The record is from RNAcentral.
GACGAACGCUGUCGGCGUGCUUAACACAUGCAAGUCGAACGGUGAACGAGGGAGCUUGCUCCCUCCGGAUCAGUGGCGAACGGGUGAGUAACACGUGAGCAAUCUGCCCCGAACUCUGGGAUAAGCGUUGGAAACGACGUCUAAUACCGGAUACGACGCGGGAGGGCAUCCUCUCCGCGUGGAAAGAACUUCGGUUCGGGAUGAGCUCGCGGCCUAUCAGCUUGUUGGUGAGGUAACGGCUCACCAAGGCGACGACGGGUAGCCGGCCUGAGAGGGUGACCGGCCACACUGGGACUGAGACACGGCCCAGACUCCUACGGGAGGCAGCAGUGGGGAAUAUUGCACAAUGGGCGCAAGCCUGAUGCAGCAACGCCGCGUGAGGGACGACGGCCUUCGGGUUGUAAACCUCUUUUAGCAGGGAAGAAGCGAAAGUGACGGUACCUGCAGAAAAAGCACCGGCUAACUACGUG